GAGGAAUCAUGUUUGCCUCUUCGUUUUCAGGUUCUAUCUCCAUGUUUAAGAAAUCGUCCUGCACAGAAGCAUCAUCGUCAAACAUAGUAGAUAAACCAGAAAAAUUCUCACCUGAAUGCAAAGUGAUGGCGCUCAAAUGCUCCUCGGAUUCAGUAGCAUUUGAUGGAGUUCCCAAUUGCUCUUCAGCUACUAACUUGAAGAUUAAGCCUACUUGAUGCUCUAUGUUGUUAAUCGAGGCUUGUUGAUCUUCAAGUAUCCUCU
This 261-nucleotide long non-coding RNA is filed under the name Ricinus communis (castor bean). RNAcentral describes it as "long non-coding RNA (RCOM_LNC001941)". Lineage: Eukaryota; Viridiplantae; Streptophyta; Magnoliopsida; Malpighiales; Euphorbiaceae. The record is from RNAcentral.